Molecule: unclassified non-coding RNA, 25 nt
Filed under: Mus musculus (house mouse)
Lineage: Eukaryota; Metazoa; Chordata; Mammalia; Rodentia; Muridae
Description: oocyte_clustered_small_RNA283
Source: RNAcentral
UUUACUGAAGAUUAGCAUUGUGUUG